Molecule: long non-coding RNA, 4359 nt
Filed under: Nicotiana benthamiana
Lineage: Eukaryota; Viridiplantae; Streptophyta; Magnoliopsida; Solanales; Solanaceae
Description: long non-coding RNA (NBEN_LNC031229)
Source: RNAcentral
GGGAUAACAGGGUUCACACUUUUGCUAAAAAUAAAACAAAAAUUUGGAUUACACCCUGGAAUAAUCCAGAAAACAUGAAAGAAAGAUCAAGGCCUACUACUAGACUCCCUCCAGCUGACCCAAACAUGGAGAGUCUUUCCAAUUAACAAGCACAACAUUUUUAGCCAUUGAGUUUCGCAUCCAUAUUAUCAAGACGACUAUCUGCUUCAAGAUCUUCAGCUUUAGUCAGUACAUUCUCAUACCCCAUGUUAUCGGGCAUCAUCCCCACAACGUGUGCAUAUCAUAUUUAUCUAAAGGAUUCAGCGUGAUAUUCUAGGUGUCACUGUCUUGAAUCAAAUUUUCCUGGACCUUGUGCUUCCAGCUUAUCACAAACCGACCACUCCAACUUUCUCAAAAUUCAAAACAAAACAUGUUAGAAUGAACUUAGUCGAUCCUCAUUAUUCACAACAUCUUUUCCAUUUUUUUAUUUUUAUUUUUCAUUUUUUGUAUUUUGGUUGUGGUCGAAUCCUAUGUGGAUUGCCUACGUAUCGUGACCCCGCACGAAUCAGACCAGGUGUAGUUCGUGCCAAUAAAAGAUAAACAAUAAUAAAACUUUUUUUUAAAAUUUUCAAUUUUCAUAAUAAAACGAACAUGAUUACAACGGUUUAAAAACUUACCAUACUAACAGACUUUGACGAAAAGACGACCUACAUACUUGAAAAUAAAAACAUACCACACCCUAAGCAAAAUAAUUACAAACUCAAAAACAUACGGCAUGUUUCCUUUCCUUGUUUGCCAAUUUCAACCAAAUGGUUAUCUUUGCAAACCUGGCCCCUUCCCAAUUUCACAUGAAUUUUGAGGCCGGGAAGGAUUUUUUACAACCUUGUCCGUUCUUUUACGAAAAUAGUCUUUCGCCAACUGAAAGAUACUCUAAGGCUAUCUUGGCAAGAACGGUUUAAGACACUGUCAAAGUUGGCUUGGCUUAUUUUGACCAAAAAUUUUGACGACAUUCACUUGCCUACUGAUUUUUUUUUCAAAUUAAAAUAAAAGGCCAAAUUUUGCAAAGACGACCUUUCAGCACUUCGAGGACGAAGAUUUUUAAGGCUGUGUGAGUCAGCUGGUCAAAAUCCAAAAAAUUACCCAAAGGUGGCUGUUUAUUCAAAGUCAGCCUUCCGGCGUCCCUUUCGGGAAUAUUCGGCUAUUUUAGACAAAACAACAUCACCCAACUUAUUUAUGACUAUAUUUUUUGUUUCUUAAAAUAGAAGACCCGAUAUUGAAAACACAACCUUUCACCGCCUCGGGGGCGAAGAUUUUAAGGUUGUGUUAGCUAACCGGCCGAAAUCCUAAAAUCACUCAUGUCUAUGCAAAGUCGGCCUUCUAGCGUCCCUUUCGGGAAUAUUCAACUAUAUUUGACAAAACGACAUCACCGAACUCAUUUAUGACGAAAGUUAAAAUUUUGAUAUUUUUGGCCAUUUUCGCAAAAUGGGAGGUUGCACCCGAUGAGGAUAUCCUACGUAUCUCACACCCUGUGAGAAUCAAACCGGCGUAGUUCGCCUAGAUUGAACAAACUAUUUUAAAACAAAACUUUUUAAUUUUUAUUUCUGGCAUUUAAUAAAAAUAAAAAUAAAAACUACUGUAAAAACAAGAGUUUUUUUUCAUUUUCAAUUUCCAUGGCAAAACAAACUAUUUUUCCUUUUCUACAUUUUUUUAAAACAAGAGAAAAUAACAACUCUCUAUUUUUUAUUUUUUAUUUUCAACAAAUGGUAAACUACUUAUUUUCCCAAACUAAAAUAAAAACUCUUUCUUUUUCUUUUCAGCAAACAAUAAAACAACUGUCCAGACUAAAAUAAAAGACUCUUUUUCUUUUCUUUUUUUUCAACAAAAUAAUAACACAAUCUAUUUUUCCAAACUACAACAAAAACUUUUUUUCUUUUCUUUUUCUUUUUUUUUUUUGCUUUUUGAGUAAUAAAACAAAUGUUUUUUUCAUUUUCUCAAAAAUUUCGGCAAAAUUUCGACAGUAUUUGGGAAUUAAUUUUUCAAAACAGAUGAUUAACCCUCUACACUUCAAUUUUUCUCUUUUUUCAAUAUUUUCCAGUAUUUCCAAUUUUCAGAAGCCGGUCAGCAUGCAUGUCUAAAGCAAAUAAAUGCAUAAAACAAACGUGAUGCAACAUGAUGGUCUUUUUACUUCAGGUUGCUUGUCCUAGACAGACUCAACCCAUGUGUUGAGUCCCGUAAGUCAAAUGCACAUGAUGCAAAUAAACAUUCCUACUAGGGAUCCGGCAUGAAGCUGUGUUUUACUAGGUAAAAGAAAAACAUGAGUUUUGGUCUAGAGUUGGGGAACCCGAGCGAACAACUGGGGCUGAGAAGGGGCGACAUAAAAGGAGCACUAAAGUCUGCCCGACCUUGUCUCUUGCCCAACACUCACUCUAUUUGGAAUAAUUUUUCAAAAGGUGGGCUACGCGAUCGUAUGCACCAUUUUCAGAAGACUCAGAAGGGAAAAAGGUUUCGUAGAUGUUUAUAUACAGAUCAAAUAAUAUUAAAACGGAAUUAAGCAACAAUUUACACAUUAAAUCCAAAAAUGUAAUAAACAUCAGAUAAUAAAGAAAUCCAAAGACAACAAUUAUUCUAAGCUCGAAUUUCUAACCCUAGACCAGUGGUUCUGGGUUAUUUGUCCCCAGCAGAUUCGCCAGAGCUGUCGCACCUCCUUUUUCCGCCCCGCGAGGGUGGAAGGGAGUUUUUUCAAUAAAAGGAAAAUCGAAACGGGAUUAUUUAUAAAAGAAUUAGAGUCACCACUUGGGGAUAUGGUGUCCCAAGUCACCAGUUUAAUACCGAAUCGAUGAAAAGAAUGACUCUGCUUAACAGUUCGCGCACCAGAAAUUCGGAUAAAGAAUUCUGUUAACCCAAGAGAAGAUGUUAGGCAUUCCCGAGUUCCGUGGUUCUAGCACGGUCGGUCAACUGUCACAUUUAGCUUAUUUAUCUGAUUUUUAUCCAAUUAUGAACUUAUGCAAAUUUUACCUUUUGGCCGCUUUUAUCAUUAUUUAUUUUUUUAAAAAGAAUUGCAACGUCAUGAGAAUAUAUCGUGAACUGCUUCACAUAAAUGUAUUCGCAAUUUUCAAUAUGUUCUGACUUCGUUGGGAUUUGGAUUUGGGUCACAUAAAUGUGUACCCGAGUUUAGGGAGGAUAACAUUAUUAAAUACACCCCUAAAGAUACAAACGGGUUAUUAUUUUGGGAAAGCCGUGAAAUUCGCUAAACGGCAUGUCCCACACUCUAAGUAUUUUUUAUUAAACAUGUAUGAGGGCCCCGCAACUUAUAAUUUACUGUGGCGAGGCACGCCUCCUUUAUUUUAAGGAUAUCCUAAAGUGAGAACAUUUCUAUUUAAAUUCGUCUCUAAAAUAAAGAAAGAAAAAUAUUAGUUAAUUACGAGCUUAAAAAUAAAUAAAAACGCAACACACUAAUGGAUAGAUUAAGGCAAAUAUUAGUGGAAAGAAAAUACAAAUAAAUAAAAUAAAUUCGAAAUUAUAAAUAAAAAUAUAAAACAAUUCGAAAUUGUAAAUAAACUAAAAAUUCGACAACUAAUAUUUAAAAGCAAUUAAUUAUCACAUUGUUAUAUAAAAACUAUUGAAAUUGAUUAUUUGCAACUAGAUUUAACCAUAAUUAUUAAAGCUAAAAAAAUUAUUAAACUUAAAACUUAACUCAUAUUUCUCAAAUGCGCGCCCAUGGAUUAAUGUUCUUAGCAAGCUAUGUUGAAUCACACAUUACAUAUCAAGCCUCUUCAUUCUAUGAAAUUACUGGCUUAUUAUAUUUGCCUAAUAUUUGCGGAUCUUUAUUACUAACAAGAUUCAAAGAUUAACUAAUGCAUAGCGGAAAAAUAUAUAUAACUAAUGUUUAACUAAAAUACAAAUGUAUUAUAACUAAGUAUAUAAAUUUCUGCCAUUUUAUUUCAUCUUCAAGGCGUACAUCAAAGUGAUUCAAAGUGGUGUACCUGGUAUUGAAUACAAAGAAGAUGAAGAUCAGUAGGAAGCAAAAGCAGCACACACACAACAACAACAGUUGAGCAACACCGGAGUAACCCAGUCACAAACAGUGCAGGAAGACCCCACGAAUAGAUUUAAAAAAUCAAGCAGGCAAUCCAGCAACAACCAGUGAAGUAGUAACAGUAUUAGUUCUGAUAUUCAGCGGUAAAGAAAAGACCUCCCUUUUACUCUUAAGUUCUGAAUUUUUUUUUAUCUCUCCCAAAAUUCUUCUCUUCUCUUCACAGAUUUUCUUUAAGGUUUUUGUUCUUCAAAAUCUGAUCCCCUAAAAUUAUCCAAAUGACUCUUAUUUAUUUGAAAACAAGACCAUAUUUUCCUCUUCCUUUCCCCACCCUCUUUUCCUCUUUC